AUGUUUCCGUUCAAGUUUAAGAGGAAGCAAUUUCCUAUAAGGCUUAGCUUUGCUAUGACCAUUAACAAGGUUCAAGGGCGGACCAUCCCGAUUGUUGGUGUCUACCUACCCAAUCCCGUGUUCUCACAUGGUCAGCUCUAUGUUGCUUUGUCUCUAGCCACCGCGAAGAGAAACAUAAAGAUACUCAUUCAGAAGGAGAAGCCGAAGGAGAAGACCAAAAAGCAAAAGGACAAUCCAAAGAAGCGAAAAAGAACGACCGUGUCCUUACUGACCUCGAUGAAGAACAUCGUCUGCAAGGAAGUCCUUACAGGCUGA
RNAcentral lists this ribosomal RNA (315 nucleotides) under Triticum aestivum (bread wheat). Its description in RNAcentral is "partial small subunit ribosomal RNA". Lineage: Eukaryota; Viridiplantae; Streptophyta; Magnoliopsida; Poales; Poaceae. The record is from RNAcentral.